AAGGCACUGUAUGUUGAACUAGAUGCGAAAUGCCAGAGUCAGCGGUGUUAGUAAACAGCCGCCAUCUUAAAGCAAUACACUUCACAGCGCUAAUAAAUAAGAUUGUUACUCGCUCACGUAACGUUAGCCCUGCGCGUGGCUAACGUGUCUUACAUACAGGUUUUAUUUAAUCUGUGAAAACAUAGCGUUGUAGAGUGAUGAGGAUGUAAAAUGAAAAUAUGAUAAAGCUAACUGUCAAUUUUAGUUCAGUAGUCAUUGCUGGAUAAAACACCCAGUUGCACUGGUCCCUAAUGUGCUCCAAUACAGCAGGUAUCAUACUGUAACGUUGACAAAGAGUCACCCGCUUCGUUAGGUUGCAAUUAUUUAUUUUUUGAGAUCUUGUGAAACGACAACAACAACAGAAAGGCACGUCUCUCGCUCUCCCGCACCUCCCUCACCCCCGCACGUCACGCGGUGCAUUCAGGAAAGCAUGCAAAUAUCCCCGCCAUAUUAUAACCUGAUAUGUUACAAUACAUUUAUUUUGAACACAGCAAAAACUCAAAAUCCUAUCAGGACUUACAGUUUAGACUAACUUAAAACUUAACUAGAACUUAAAAAUGGCUUGACACAAAUAGAAAUUCAAUUGAAACAGGUGGGAAAAAAUCCUAACUUUUAAGUGAUGUGUGUUAUCAAGCGUAAUGGCAUUUUUAGGUAAGAAAUAUAUAUAUAUGUGUACACAUAUAUAUGUAUAUAUAUAUUUUUUUUUUUAUAAGAUCUAAAAGUUUUUCGAGUGAAAGCAGUGAAUUGGUCUUUUUUUUAUUCUAGUCACAUCUGAGGCAAUUGUGGGCUGUUUUCAACAACGUACAUUGAAAAUAAAGACAUUGAUUGACUGAAAAUGGUUCAAUAUUAGAUGAAUUGUCUUGUUUUCUCAUGUAUAUUUAUAAUUGCUUUUUACCUAAAAAGAAAUGUUUUAUCCGAUUACUCGAUUAAUCAAUACGAUUUUCAGUCGAUUACUAAAAUAUUCGAUAGCUGCAGCUCUAGUCCAAUCUCAUGCCGCAACGAUUAAUUAACUCGAGUAAUUCGAUUACAAAAAAAGCUUCAAAUCAGAUUUUCAAGGAUUCGUUUUAAUUAGAGUGGCGUUGUAAUGGUUUGUUUUGAAAGUGUUUGCAUUUAGUUUUACUGAUUUGGGUGGAUACACUGCCUUCUAGUGGCAACAGUUGAUGAAUACAUUGAUUCUGAAAUAAUCGAUAGUUGCAGCUCUAGACCAAUCCAUUGAAGGUGGGAGCAAAUGAACAAACGUGAAAUUAGCACUGAUGCUAAAUCCCGUUAGCCUCUCUUUAGUGUUUUACAUAAUAUAUUAGCAUUAAGCACACAAGACUUUUAGACAAAACUACGAGGUUUGGUUGAACAUUUUGUUGUCUUCAAAUAUACAGAAUGUAGUUUUCUUGAACUAAAUGAUAAAACGUAAUAUUUUCGAGUGGCUUCCAACCGUUAGCUAUAAACAAAGUCUGUUACGUAAAGAAAUCCCACGACUAAUACAAAAGCCGUCAUAAUCUGUGACACAAUGUUUGUACUUUUGGAAUUUGUGCCUUUUUCCUCGCCAACUCAAUAUUCAUAUCACAAAAAGCUUAGCAUUUAAACCAGGGUGUGUAGACUUUUAUCCUCACUAUGUGUACACAGCGCGAGUACGUUAGCGCAACAUUCCACAGCUGAUUGCGUCUUUGCUCUCAAAAAGUGCCGAGUAAGCCACAAAAGAGUAAACGAGAAGCACGCAGUCGUAAUCUAAUUAUUCGACCUCAUCAGAAAUUCCCGUCAGUGAGGUUUUUUUUUGUCCCCUCCCCCGUUGCGCCUGUCGUGACUAGCUUAAACAGGCGUCGUAAUAAUGUAAAGAAACACAGCUGCAGACUGCGGGAUUCUCGACAGACAUUUUAUGUGGAUGAAUGUAUGUAUGUGGUUUUUGCUCGUUAAAAAAACUGGAAAAACAAACCCAAUAACCUACGUUGUAUAAGGAACAUAAUGUACAGAAUGUACUCUGCGCACGCUAGCCGCGAUUUAUGAAUGUGAUGAUUGGACGAAUAUGGCCAUCAGCAUUUUAACAAUUUUUACUAAUGCAACGAUUAAUCGAUUAACUCGAGAAAAAAGCUUUGAAUCAAAUUUUGCUGCUGCAAGAAUUUGUUCAAUUCGAGUGGCGUUGUAAUGGUUUGUUUUGAAAGUGUUGGCAUUGUUUUAUUGAUUUAGGUGGAUAAACUGCCCUCUAGUAGCAACAGUGAUUGUGACAUUUUUAUGGUAAUAUGUGUUUGAACGAUUUGUUAAGAGCUUUGUAAAAAAAAUAUAUAUAUAUAUAUAUUUUUUAAAAAGCGCGACCAUUUUAUAGCAUUUAUUAGUUAAUUGUUAAGUUAGUUAAUUGUUCUUUCAUUGUACUUAGUUCAGAAUUUUUUCUAUACCGUCGUGGUAAUAUGUGUUUGAACUAUUUGUAAAGAGCUUUGUAAAAAAAAAAAAAAAAAGUUAGGAUUUUAUAGCAUUUAAGCUAGCAGAGUUGUGCUUUGCAAGUUAGCAUAUUGUUCUUGUGUUGUACUGAAAUCAGAAUUUAUUUAUUUUUAUACCGUUGUGGUAAUGUGUUUGAACAAUUUGAUAAGAGCUUUGUUAAAAAAAAAAGUUUUUUUUUAAAAAGCGCGACGAUUUUAUAGCAUUUAUUAGUUAAUUGUUAAGUUAGUUAAUUGUUCUUUCAUUGUACUUAGUUCAGAAUUUUUUUUUAUACCGUCGUGGUAAUAUGUGUUUGAACUAUUUGUAAAGAGCUUUGUAAAAAAAAAAAAAAAAAAAAAGUUAGGAUUUUAUAGCAUUUAAGCUAGCAGAGUUGUGCUUUGCAAGUUAGCCAAUUGUUCUUGUGUUGUACUGAAAUCAGUAUUUAUUUUUAUACCGUUGUGGUAAUGUGUUUGAACAAUUUGUUAAGAGCUUUGUAGAAAAAAAAAAAAAGCGCGACGAUUUUAUAGCAUUUAUUAGUUAAUUGUUAAGUUAGUUAAUUGUUCUUUCAUUGUACUUAGUUCAGAAUUUUUUUUUUAUACCGUCGUGGUAAUAUGUGUUUGAAAUAUUUGUAAAGAGCUUUGUAAAAAAAAAAAAAAAAAAAAAAAAAAAAAAAAAAGUUAGGAUUUUAUAGCAUUUAAGCUAGCAGAGUUGUGCUUUGCAAGUUAGCCAAUUGUUCUUGUGUUGUACUGAAAUCAGAAUUUAUUUAUUUUUAUACCGUUGUGGUAAUGUGUUUGAACAAUUUGUUAAGAGCUUUGUAGAGAAAAAAAAAAAAGUUUUAUAUAUUUAUUUACAUUUAUAGCAUUUACGCUAGCCGACUUCUGCUUUGCAAGUUAGCCAGUUGUUCUUUCGUUGUACUUAGAUCAGCAUUUAUUUUUUUACCGUUGUGAUAAUGUGUUUGAAUGAUUUGUUAAGAACAAUGGAAAAAUAAAAUAAAAGAAUUAAGCAUUUAAGCUAGCGAAUUUUUGCCAAGCAAGGUAGCCAAUUGUUCUUCUGUUGUACUUAGAUCAGCAUUUAUUUAUUUUUUUAUACCGUUGUGGUAAUAUGUGUUUGAACGAUUUGUAAAGAGCUUUGUUUUAAAAAAAAAAAAAAAAAGUUUGCAUUUUAUAGCAUUUAAGGUAGCGGAGUUGUGCUUUAGAAGUUAGCCAAUUGUUCUUUUGUUGUACUUAGAUCAGCUUUUCAGUAGUAUUUAUUUUAUAUACCGUUGUGGUAAUACGUGUGAACGAUUUGUCAAGAGCUUUGUAAAAAAAAAAAAAAAAAAACAUUAGCAUUUUAUAGCAUUUAAGCUAGCGGACUUUUGCGAAGCAAGUUGGCCAAUUGUUGUUUUGUUGUACUUAGAUUUUUUUUAUGCAGUUGUGGUAAUAUGUGUUAGGACGAUUUGUUAAAAGCUUUGUAUAAAAAAAAAAUAAAAAUAAAAAAAAAGACAAAAACAGUUGGCAUUUUAUAACAUUUAAGCUAGCGGUCUUUUGCUAUGCAAGUUAGCCAAUUGUUCUUUUGUUGUACUUAAAUCAGCAUUUAUUUAUUUUUAUAUCAUUGUGGUAAUAUGUUUGAAUAAUUUGUUGAGAGAUUUGUAAGAAUAAAGAAUUUUAUAGCAUUUAAGCUAGCGGAUUUUUGCUAAGCAAGUUAACCAAUUGUUAUUUUGUUGUACUUAGAUCAGCAUUUAUUUUGGUUUUUAUACUGUUGUGGUAAUGUGUGUUUGAACGAUUCGUUAAGAGCUUUGUACAAAAAAAAAAAACCUUAGCAUUUUAUAGCCUUUAAGCUAGCAGAGUUGUGCUUGCAAGUUAGCCAAUUGUUCUUUUGUUAUUUUUUAUACUGUUGUGGUAAUAUGUGUGAACAAUUUGUUAAGAGCACUGUAAAAAAAAAAAAAAAAAAAAAAAAAGUUAGCAUUUUAUAGCAUUUAAGCUAGCGGACGAUCGCUAAGCAAGUUAGCCAAUCGUUCUUUUAUUGUACUUGUAUCGGCAUUUAUUUCAUUUUUUUAAUACCGUUUGAGGCUAAGCUAAUGUAUUUUAAUUUAGUUUUAAAUGCAUUUAUUGCUCUCGUGAAAUGAAAGUGCAAUUCUGCACAGUUUGAAGAAACACUCAGUAAUGUUUGUAAUUCAAUUAUUCGAACUAACUCAUCUAUAUAUUACUCAAUUACUUAAAUAAUGGAUAGUUAGUAUGUUAGUUUGUAUUUGCAAAAAAUAAAAAUGCCCCUACCUGGACCCGGUGCUGUUUUUUCGGUGUCAUGGCAGGUCAUCUUGGUUUUGCUGUCAGAGUCCAUCUGCGAGAGCCGAGCAGCAAACCUGCCAAAUUUUGAAGCAAAAAAACAACUUUGUUGCAAAGACUAGAAAAUAAUCAUUAUGAUCAAUGUGUCAAGGCCUAAUCUUUGUCUUCCACUCAAAAGUUGUGCUGACCUCAAAUCUACACCCGUCUGUAAGUUUGUUACAACAGUCAAGCUAGGAACACUUACUCAUUGAAAAAUAUACUAGAAGAAGACCAAUUUCUUGCUUAUACGCCAAAUUACUGACAACAGAUAAGCUCGUUUUUGACCUACGACGCAAUAUAUGUUCCUGUUCCCUGGAAUUUGCAGAUUUUCACCAGAAAUGGGUAGAGGAGCCAAAAGAAUUUACUCAAGUAAGAGUACUGUUACUUCUAAAUAAUAUUACUUAAGUACAAGUAAAGUAUUCGCUGAAAAGAAUACUCAAGUAAUGAGUAACAUUGUGACUAACUGCUUACAAGUUCUAUUGUAAAUAUUUUUUCCCCCAGCACAACUUAAUCUUAAUGAACUGUUAUUACACUGUACUAUAACCUAUUACAUGACCAUACUAGGCCAAAAAGAUACACAAAAAUCAUCAAAUUCAGACUAGAACAACACUACAAAACAUCACCUGUCCAAAGAGCAUGAGUGCCCUCUAGUGGGGAAAUAAGUUACCUCUCAUUAGUAUAAUGGAGUCAUGUGGUUAUUGUUGUGACGUCUCAUUGGCAAAACUGAGACGGCCACUGUCGGCAUCUUUGGCAAUAAUAAAGUCAAUAUGGAGAAUAAAGAUUAUAAAUUAGGGCUGUCAAAAUUAUCGCGUUAACGCGCAGUAAUUAAUUUUUUAAAAUUAAUCACGUUAAAAUAUUUGACGCAAUUAACGCACAUGUCCCGCUCAGACAGUAUUCUGCCUUUUGGUAAGUUUUGCAGCAAGGCGUUUUGUGCUGCAGCACAACAGCGAACUCUUGUGGUCGCUUUGCGACAUGUUUUUUUUUUUUCUUCUUGCCAGUUCAUAUGGCUGCACGACGUCUCGGGCUGAAGCCUACGUUGUAAUGUUGUGCUUAUAUGAUCCUUGGACAAGAUUUGUCCAAGCAGCAGGGCUUCACCCGACAUUUUAUACUGGUUAACGGGGCGGUACCGACUGUCUCGCCAGCUGGACUUCAACCGGAGCCCCCGGGCGGCAGUGACUCACGCCUAUCCUCUCCAACGACGAGUGUGUACAAGUUGCAUUCGACGCUACUAAUGUGCUUAUGGGUGAAACAUUAGCACAUCUUCAUCCUUUGGGUUCCUCAACUCCCCUAAAGCGAAAAAACGGGCAAUCAGAUGACCCACCGGCAAAGCAAGCGGUUGUUGGGUCUGCUUCUUUUCAAGAAUCGCAAACAGAUUCCAUUAGUGCAGAUUGUAAGGAAAACUCCUCAUCAGAAUUUGACAGCAGCGACAGCGAGCGCUUAUGUGAAAGAACUGAUGGACAUCCUUUUUAAUGAAGUUGUCGACGACUCGGCACCGUUUGUUGCCGAGCUGAAAGCAGGAUGAGCGACCGCAGAAGGCAGACGCUGUUGCGAGGCACAAAGUAGGUGUAAAAAAGAGUUAAAGGCAAGUGCCAACUUUUGAAAAGCCUUAUUACAGAUACUCCAUUUUUUGAAAUUCGGAGUUGGCAACCAAUAUCCUUUAAUUAAUUUUGACUUUCUCCCUUUAAGAAAGUUGGAAAAUGAAAUGGACUCUUGCGUGGUUACAAGAGUACUGUAGUAUUUCUGAUAAUUGAAAUUGUAUAACUGCCGCUGCUGCUACUGCAGCUUGAGAUUAGCAAUUACCUUUUCCUAACCUUUUGAUCUGUGCUCGCCCUAUCGUUCCGUUAACACAUACGCCAGUGUUGUGUAAGGCCACUGAAAGGUAGCUUGAGGCCAUUGGAUGAAUCGUGUCGCAUUAUAAUGUGAUGUUUCACAUUUAAAUGUGAGAAGAACGCUAAAAGAGGAGCAGUUUUAGGAAAAAAACAUUUUUUGAAGGAUAAAAAUUCAUGACUGCAGUCUAAUUUUUUUUAGGGGAAAAUGUUAAGCCAUUUUGUUGGCAUCGUUGUUGUCUUUUCCCAGUUUAAAAAAACAAACUCAAAUACAUGGUUGUUUUCGAAAGAGAAAAAAACGCCAUACUAUACAUGGUCAUUUUUAUGUUUUGAUUUUUUUUUUAGGAUUAAAAAGGCCUUACUAUACAUGGUCGUUUUUUUGAGGGGGGGGAUAGAUAAAUAAAAACUUGCUAUACAUGAUUAUUUUUUAAGAAAAAAGCCUUUCUAUACAUGGUCGUUUUUUGGGGAAAAAUAAAUAAAGCCUUGCUAUA
Long non-coding RNA from Corythoichthys intestinalis (scribbled pipefish), 7059 nucleotides. RefSeq lists it as uncharacterized. NCBI's taxonomy places the organism in Eukaryota, Metazoa, Chordata, Actinopteri, Syngnathiformes, Syngnathidae. The record is from RefSeq and is a predicted model, not a curated record. The transcript is spliced from 4 exons.